Molecule: ribosomal RNA, 457 nt
Filed under: Capnocytophaga sp. canine oral taxon 329
Lineage: Bacteria; Pseudomonadati; Bacteroidota; Flavobacteriia; Flavobacteriales; Flavobacteriaceae
Description: bacterial SSU rRNA
Rfam family: Bacterial small subunit ribosomal RNA
Source: RNAcentral
GAGUUUGAUUCUGGCUCAGGAUGAACGCUAGCGGCAGGCCUAACACAUGCAAGUCGAGGGGUAAGGAGAGCUUGCUUUCCCUAGACCGGCGCACGGGUGCGUAACGCGUGUACAAUCUACCUUACACAGGGGGAUAGCCCGGAGAAAUCUGGAUUAAUACCCCAUAGUAUUAUUGCUUGGCAUCGAGUGGUAAUUAAAGUUUAAGCGGUGUAAGAUGAGUACGCGUCCUAUUAGCUAGUUGGAGUGGUAACGGCACCCCAAGGCUACGAUAGGUAGGGGUCCUGAGAGGGAGAUCCCCCACACUGGUACUGAGACACGGACCAGACUCCUACGGGAGGCAGCAGUGAGGAAUAUUGGUCAAUGGUCGAAAGACUGAACCAGCCAUGCCGCGUGCAGGAAGACUGCCUUAUGGGUUGUAAACUGCUUUUGUAUGGGGAGAAUAAGAGGUACGUGUACC